GCGAGUGGAUGCUUGUGGAUAAGUGCCAAGGUCUGGCACUUGUUAAUAGAUUUAAUGUCGAGGAAGUUUUCAAGUGUUUCAUCCACUGGGGAACAGGAACAGUCAAUUUGGAGCUCUGGUCUGAACAAAGGCCAGUUUCAAAGCAGUCACCUCUUGCGAUUUCCCAUGAAUACGAGGUGAUAAAAAUUCCAUAGGCACUCGUGCAAAAUUCUGCAAAAUAUUCCGAACGGUCAAAGGAGUGUUCUGAACUUGAACAAAGUAAGACUGAAUGUUUGGCUGGCAGAAUGUAAAUAUCAAUCAGCUGAGCCUAAUAAUAAUCGAUCUCCACGUUACUUGUUAGUGUCUUGUGCAACUCGAUAUAAUUUGGUGACUUGUUAAUGCCUGAAUAUCUUUCCAAGACUUCAACGAGCAUAGAUUUGUUUGUUUUAGAGGAAGCAACCAUUAGAUGGAAAGGUAAGCAGCACAAGCUUUGUUAGCUCGAGGAUGGUGAGUGUGGGGCUAAUGCAUAGGAUGGGAAUUGACAAGAGAAAAAACUAUGAAUUGAGAUGGCAUGGGAUAUAAUAAGCUCAUGAACAAUUAGGCGCAGAAUAAAUAUUUACAGGUGGUGGCAUACAUCUACCAAUUUUGAUGGCAUAGGAAUAAUAAGUCUCUUUCAAUAGAAAAAUAGCAAUUCAUAUGCUGCUUCAAAUUCAUGUUUAAACAGACUCGACUCUUAACAAACAUCAACGGACCACAAAGUUCAGUUACUCCACAAACAUUUACAAAUCCAACAAAUACCAUUCGUAUGCUCAAAAGGGUUUUAUUGUUACCAAUACUACAACCGUAGUAAAAUUCAUGUUACAUUUGAAUUCUGACUCUUUUCAUCAUUGGUUCAGUGACUGAUACCCCAAUGGAGCUGGAGAUUCCCUCAAUUGACGCCCUUGGUAAUGUAUGUCCUUAUUGUUAUAUUAUAUUAUAUCGAUAUUACAAUCAAAGUCCACCGAAGUAGAUUUGUACAAUUUAUAACAAGCUGGGAUCUAUCGAAUUUAAUUAACAAAUCUACUCUAAAUAAGAGUGAGAAUCUCCAUUUCUAUAAGAGUGUUUUACCACUAUAGUCUAUAGAUACGUAAUGUGUUUGCUUUAAACAUAGCAAUGUGAUGGCGAUGUGAUUCUAAUGUUAUAAUAACAUUUGUUUGUUGGAAGGAAACAAUGAUGUGAGGCUGUUGAAGCACGCAUGAUGAUGACGAUGAUAAUUGUAGUCUUUGAAAUAUUUUUACUUUACUAUAACUGGAUCAUUUUUUUCCCAUGAAAGUUCGGUUUUGCGACCAAGACUCUUUUUUCCCUAUUGCACUCAAAAUUUCUUUAAGAAAAACCACCUGGUGAAAAGCAAUAGAGUAGGAUUAGGGUUAAUUUUAUUAUGCUAUGCAAACUCUGUUACAAUGCAUUGUGUUUGUUGCAAGAAUUAAAACUUAAAAUUAUCCUAAUCUCUGUCUAAGCUUCAAUUUAAUUGAUGGAAGCUUAUAUUCGAUUAUGUUUCUUCAACAAUUUAGGGGAUAUAUUGAUGAGCUCAAAAGAAUUUGAGGAAUGCUUGGGGACUCAAUAUUUGAGUUUUAACUUGGGUUACAAUGUCAUGUUUCACUCAUGUAUUGCAUGAUAAAUAUAAAAUUAAUUAUUACUUUAUUUGAUCAUCUCAUAAAUGUGAUAUCACUUAUGUGUUGGAUGAUGAAUGUAAAAUUAAUUAUUACUUUACUUUACCAUCCCAUUAAUGAAUAUCACAUUAGUUGGGAUUCAAAUUAAGGUAGUGUUUUUUUUUUUUUCGUCUGAAAUCUGAAUGGGUUUGAAUUUGACUGGAUUCUGAAUAGGUCUGAAUAUAUAUAUAUAUCUAAAUGAUAUGUUUGUUUUUUCUUUUUUCAAUAUCUGAAUAUAAGUGUUAACUUGUUUGUUUUAUUGGAUAAACACAUGACAAGUUAUAAAUAAAUUAUUUGAUUAGUAAAAAAAAAAUUGAUAAUUUUUAUCUUAACAAAGCAUGAAAAGUAAAAUAUAUAUCAAAUACACAUACUUUUCUACAUUGACAUAUGAUACAUAUAAUGUUAUUUUUAGCAUUUUAUAAUGAUAUUUUUUCUUGUUAAUCAUAUAAGUCAAUCAAUAAUUGUUUAAUCAUUGGAAUUAAAAUUAAUGUAUUAAAUAAAAUUCAAAAUCUAUUAUAAAAAUAGUAAAUAUAAAAAUUGAGAAAUGGACCUAUUAUAAAAUACAUUCACCUAAAGUUCUCUUUGACAAAAAAAAAAAUUAGUAAUAGUUGAAUACAUGUACAAAAAAAGGAUAAAUAAAAAAUAAUAAAAGGAUAGUUUAUAUAAUAGAAAAUAAAUUUAUUUAAUAGGGUAUUAAUAAAAAAGAAUUUUAAAGUUCCAUUCACAUGUUUUGCCAUUCAGAUAAAAAUAAGAUUAUUUAACUUUUUCAUUCAAAUCUAAACAUAAUCAGAUAUAAAUGAUAAAAAACAAACAAAAUAAAAACCGUAAAUAUCUUAAAAAAAAUUAAGAUUCAAACUUCAGUUAAAAAAUAAAGAAACAUUAAAACUUAAAUAUUGAGACACCUAACAUUACUUAAAAGAAUUUAAAAUUUAAUGUACAUAACUCAAAAGAAUUUAGAAAGAUUACAGAUCCUAGUCAUGCUUGAAAAUGACUUGACAUUUUAUUAUCCUUUCUGUUUACUUAUUGCUAGGUCUAAUACCCAACAACAUCAUUGUCAUACUAAUGACUUACAAUAGUCCUUAAUUAUUAGUUUUUUCACUUGAUAUCUACCCAUGCUUUUGGGCUGUGUACUGACAAUUAACGCAAUAUAGUAAUAUGGCUAUGUAACGAUUAAUGCAAUUGAGUAAUAUGGGAUGCUGUGUAGGGUAAAAUCAUAAUUUAAAAUAAAUAAAACUAUAUUUCUUAGAAAUUUAACGAUUGGCACCAUGGUCUCAUACUAAUUUGUCGUCAUUGUUGCCAAUCUGCCCUCGUUGUUGUCGACGCCGAUUUUGCUCAAGGUUCCCGCCAAUUAUUUUCCAAGAAUAUAUGAGAAAAUGAAAUAUUUCUUUCUCUAUUUGACCUACGACAACAAAAUUAGAUCCAGUAAUUUGUGCACCGUACAGUAAAUACUUAAGGAUUUUUAUUUUUCAUCUAACGGCUGAGAUUUAUUGUCUCUAAUUUUUAUGGAUCGAACUUAGAUAUUAAUGCCUGUUAAAGGUUCAAAGUUGAAAAGAAGCACAAUAAUUGAGAUGUAAAAUGGGAUUAGAUUCUUAUUAAAUAAGGUUGAAUCUUAAUUUCAAAACUAUGUGGCUGAAUCUUAAUGUUUAAAACUAUGUAUUAUAACCACCUACACUUCCUUAGCUAAUUCGCAUACUUUCUUGCCUAAUUUUUAUGUUUUCUUUUGCUUCUUCAAUUCCUGUGCUUCAUUUUCUACAAAGAAAAAGUGUGCUUUGGAAGUUUUCGGCUAGCUAACCAAAUGAAAAAAAAAAAAAGUAAUGAAGAAUUCGAACAGGAAUUUUACUUGGACAAAUUAUUCACUAAUGAAAAAUUAGUUCUACAUUAUGUAAAUGGACAAAUUAUUCCCUAUUAAAAACUAGAUCUAUGUUGUUUAAGUCACCCGAGGCGAAUUUAUGGUGAUCUAAGAAGAAGCAAAUCAAAGAAGAACCCGCAAAGUUGGUUGGUGUGAGUGGUUCGGCACUCUCACUCCUUAAGAGAGGUCAGGGGUUCAAGCCCCACUCUCGUAUGGAGUCACCACUUUGGCCAGCACUUUACCCCUUAUGGGCCGACCCGGUGCGAGCGAGGAUUAGUCUGGGUUGUGGUACGGGCUUAAAGGUGCCUCCCACAGUUGGGGUCCACUCAGGACCACCUCGUGGUUCAAACCAAAAAAAAAAAAAAAAAGAACCCGCAAAGAGAACCAGAGGUGCUUGCAUGCAGAAGAACCAGCGAUGGGUAAAUAUUUGAGCAGGUAUUCCUUCGCUGCUUAACCAGUAUUCCUCUUGAAAAGUAUUAUACAUCCUUUCAAGUGCUUAUCUCUGUGUCCACAUUAGUGACAAGCUUGGUUAUGUUAUGUGAAUGAACUUUAGUUUUGUAAGAGGAGAAAUCAUGGUCAGCCAAUCCUUCUACGUAUGGCCUACUUAAAUCCAUAUAGCCUGCACAAUACAAGAGAAAUCAAUACUAUUUUAAUGUCUUGUACUGCCAAUGCACACACUCGACCUUCCCCGGCCAAUGCAUCCAACUUUCCAGCUCCUCCGAAUCCUUUGCUUCUUUCUCCAGAAACAAAAAGCGUGCCGUGGAAGCUCAAAUGGGGGAAUUCAAGCGCGAAUUCCAUAUGGAAAAAAACUCUAAACCUUGCCGCAUGGAGAAAAAAUAACGCUAAUGGCAGCCACCAAACUGAAUAAAUUUGGCAAACAAACCCAAAAGUGUUGCGCUUUCAGUGUCUUAGCCGAUCAUUGAAUUCGACAUUAUUUUGCACUAGUCAUCACAAACUUCGAGCAUAACAAACAAUUACAUUGUAUAAUUUUCGGGGCCUUGAUUGAAUAAAACUAAAAGAUAAUCUUUUACAAUCACAUCUCUAGAACAUAACUGAUUUUAUUGCAAAAAUGCUUCUCUCCAGCAGGACCUAAAUAUCCAGUAUACAAAAAAUUAAAACAGUUAUAGCAUAAUAAAAUGGCAAAUUUUGAGUAUUUUCAUUUAGAGAUACAGUAAAAUCUCUCUAUAAUUAUAAUGUUGGAACCAAACUAAUUUUAUUAAUGAUGAGUUUAUAACUUAAUAGAAGUGCAGUUAUAGAAAUUAUUGUUCCGACUUAAUUAUUCUUAGUGUACAUGAUGUAAAAAUAAAAUAUACAUAAAGUUAAAUAAUUAAUUAAUAGAGCAUAUUCUUUCUUCCAAAAAAAAUUAAUAGAGCAUACCAAAUCUAAUUUAUAAGCAUUAAUUGAAAGAGAUAAACAUAAUUUCAAAAAACUAGCAAUUUGUUUUUUUGGUAGUCUACAAAUAUUUAUUAAUGCGUGGAUUAAGUUACUUAAGAUGAGAUAUAGAAAAUGAUAACUAAUUAUAAUAUAAACUUUAUUCUUACUUAUAACUUACCCAAAUAUAAACAAAAAAAAAAAAAUUACGCCUAAAUGAUAGUUAUUCCUUUGAUAGCAAAUCAAUCCUUUUUUUUUAUUUUUUUGGUUUGACUAACUAGGAACGAUUUGCUGUUGGGCUUAUAUCUACAUAAUAUUAAAAAUAUUACAGUAAACUUGUUCAGGUUAGUUUUUUUUUUUGUAGUGUCUAGAAAUAGUCGACUCUAAUUUACUAAGAACUUAUUGCCGUUGAAAUGACGUCAUAAGUACAACUUAGAGUCUAUAUUGACGACCUGGUUUAUAAGUACGAAAUGAGGUUUACAUGAAUGACUUGGUCUAAAAAUACAACAUUAAGCCUAUAUGAGCGACCCAUAAAUUCACUAGUCCAAUCUGGAAGUAAAGUAAUCCGAUCUCAAAAUUUAUUUGUCUGACCCAAGAAUUAGCUUGACAUGGAAAAUUAUUGCUCAAGAUAACGUGGCCUAAUUUCUAGGGAAGUUGUGUGCCAUGAUUUAUUUAAACCACCUCUAACUGACAACUACUUGCAACUGCUGAAGAAAGUAUACUUAAACUAAGGAGGUAAAGCUGAAGAGGGCAUCAGAGGAAGGGGUUAGCAAAAUUAACAAAAAAGCUCAACAAGUGACUAAUCUUCAAGCCACUCUAUUUUUUAGGAGAUUCACACCACCACCACCCAAGAAUUCCUUGAUUCUAUCUCACCUCCAAUUCCUCUUUUUCAUUUUCCAUUUUCUUAUAUACAAAACAUCUGACUUAAGUAUAGGAGAAUUUUUGAUGGACCCAUAGGCAUAUUUGACUUUAUUUUGUGGUUGGCAGGCAUAGGAAAUUGCGGUCGUAUUGUAGCUUGAGUUUAGAUUCGUGUUGUUAUUCCCAAGAAAACAAAUUUAGCUGUUGAGUCGUUUUUCAGCAUCAACAUCUUGACACCAUAUGUGGCGAACGGUGCGAGAAGCCAUACGUUUGAAGAUUUAGUAGGGAACACCAUAGUAUUAGGAAAUGGCGAUGAAUGAUGAUGAUGGAGAUAGGCAAACCUUGCACUAAUUGGUAGACGAAAUAAAUGCCACUGCGGACAAGAGAUGGAAAAAAGGGAUCGAAAGGCAAAUGGCAAGAUUUGAGGAGAUAAUUAAAGGGCUAGUUGAUGCCCAAGUCAGAGGGACUCAAGUUCGAACUAGUGAUCUAGAAAGUAGCAGAGCACGGGAGAGAGAGGAGCUUAGUGGUGAACAACAGAGUGAAAUAGGCUUACCUCAAAUUAAGGUAUGAUAGAAGAACACAAGUGCCAGAGAACAAGUGAAUGAGUUGCGGGGGAGAAUCAAUGACUUGAAUCAUGAAAGGGAGAGGGAAGAGCUAAGAAACCCCCAAUGGGCAAAUGAGCUUGAGCAACAAAUGCUGCAAUUUCAAAAAAACUCUAGAGGCAUUAGAGGCGAAAACAGAGGGUAAAAAAGUGAUAGGAAGAUUGUUACUUGACGACGAAUCCCUCCCUAAUACCAGAGGUGAUGACGGUAACUUUGUCAUCUAAGUAGGUAGUUCUAGCCUUGGUGCAUAAAGAAAAAAUUGACCCAAAUCAUCAUGUGGAGAGGUUUAAUGAGAUGAUCGGGAUUCAAGGUUUGAAUGAUUUUCAAAGGUGCCAUGUUUUUCUCCUAAUUCUAGAAGGACAUGCACAUGAAUGGUACCAGAGACUAAUAUAUAUAUAUAUAUAUAUAUAUAUAUAUACACACACACACACACACACACACACCAAAAUAAUGGAAAGAAAAUACAAAAGAUGAUUUUAUUACAACAAGCGAGAAUACAAGAUUUCACCCAAAGACUCUUACUACAACUUAAGACUCCAAGACUCGAUGAUCCAACACACAACUAGGGAGUCCCUUUUAUAGGCUCCAAGAGAAUCUCCUUUUACUAUCUAUAUCAUUAUAUCUUAUCCUUAAAAAAUCUACUUUAUGACUCAUCACUACUUUAUAUUACAUAACUCACUUCAUCCUUAUCUCUAAAGAAUCUACUUUACAACUCAUUACAUAUGACACCACACAAUUAUUACUUAUUUAUUGGUUAUUAUUCACCAUUGCUUCCGCUGGUAGGGUCUACUUCGCUUCCACUCAGCUAGUGCUGCUUUCCUCUGUAGACCACGCGCGGUGCAAACGUUCUUCUUCCCACGGGGCGAGUUACUGCUCUAUGAGCUAGUUUUCAUCUAUUAUCUCACAGUUGAGGGUGUGAGAGGACUGUGGGUGUUGUAUAAUGGUUAUGUGUUGUUAACUUCUCCUAGUGCUCUUCUUGCGUGUAAGCAUUCAUUCCACAUUUUAUAAUGUUCAUCCACAGUAUGAUCAUGAUCUACAACUCUGGGUAGAGGUGGCUUGUCUCGUUCCCAAAUAUCUCUUAACUUUACUAUGAUUGUAGUAGUUUGAGAUAUUUGAUAGCCAUUGAUUGGCUUCAGUGUAAGGAGAUUUUCAUAGAUUGGAGCAAAAAGUCUAUCAAAUCACCUUCCAUAGUUGUAUCGUCGACUCCUGCGAAUGACAUGAGGCUGAAAUAGAAUAGACAUGGGAUACAUGUUGAGGAGUAACUAAAAGGAGUAAUAUGCUUGCGGCAUAGCAUCACAAAUCACAUAAUGUUCCUCAAUUGGUGUCUUUGUCACUCACAUGAUGGAAAUAUAGAUGGGGUUGGAAGACAAACUGGAGCAUUUGGUCUAUGUUUGGAUGAGGAUUGAACAGCAUGUAGGGCAACAACUUUUCUCCAACUUUUCUUGCUGGUUUAAAUUCAAGGUUAUCUAUUAAGUGAAAAAAAAAAGACCUCACGGUAUUUUAAAUUUCGUUAAAAAAAAUUUACUGGUAAGUGCCCAAUAAAUUUUCAAACAUGUCAGGUGAUUCGAUUCCUCGCCAACCAAAUCAUCCGAACACUAUCCCGCGCUUGUUCUAUUUGAUUGAAGUUCUCCAGAAUCAGAAAACUGACACGCCACUUUUCCUGUUCAUCACCAAUUAGAUUUUGGACUCCAUCACUGCACUAUGGUAGUGUUUACUUUUUGGAGUGGGAGUGUGGAGUGUGGAUUCCUCCCACUCCAGUAUUUACUUACCUUAAAACAGGGAGGAGUGGGAGUGGGAAUUGUGGGUCCCACUCAAUUUUGAAGUGGGGAGUGGGAUUCCCACUCCCAUGGGGGGAGGUGGGAGUGGGAAUCCACUCCCCCCUCUUCCCAUUUUAUCCUUAUAAAAAUAAAUAAAUAAAUAAUAUUUAAUAAAAUAAAUAAAUAAUAUUUAAUAAAAUAAAUAAUAUCAUAUUUAAUAAAAUAAAUAAUAUCAUAUUUAUUAAAAAUAAUAAUUAUAUCAUAUUUAUUUUAUUAAAUUUAAUAAAAUAAAAAUAAAUAAAUAUUAUAUUUAAAUUAAUAAUAUUAAACAUUAAUUUUAAUAAAUAUUAAUUAUUUAUUUAAUUAAUAAUAAUAAAUAUUUUAUUCUAAAAAAAUAUUAAUUUUGUACUAUAUUAUCAAUAAUAAUAUUUCAUUUGUGUUGCUAUUAUUAAUAAUUUUUAUUCACAUAAUUUAAAUUUAAAUUAAUAAAAAAAAUUAUGAUUUACAUAAUUAAGAAUAUUAGUAAUUAUUAUUAAUUUAUAAAUAUAAUAAAAUAUUUAUUUUAUUUUCUAAAUAUAUUUUUUAUUAAUUUUUUAAUUACAAAUUAUAAUUCUGUACAUAAAGAUAAAAUUAUAAUUUAAAAUAAUUUACUCCCAAUCCAAGAUAAAAUAAACAAAUAAUUAGAAUUUUGAUUGACAAUCUAUCUUUUCAUUUAGUUUAAGUAAACACCCUACUCCCACUCAUACUCCACACUCCUAAUCUAAAGAUUCCCACUACUCAGAAUUCUCACUCCAAUAAAAAAAGUAAAUGUGCGUGCAAUUUCCGCGUCCGGUGAAUCGCUCGAUACCUCCUGGGCCUAUUAAAUUCAACUUUUAUGCUACUAAUUACUUAAAUAAUUAAAUUAUAUUAAAAACUAAAAAGGACCGACAAAUCAAAAUGAUAGAGAAUCACCAACCUGCUGCAGUAGUGCUAGAGUCACUGGCGCGCCUGUUGGAAUUACAACAACAACAGUGAACCAUGAGUCUACUGCUUCUUCGUCUUCUUCUUCCAAUUCCAAAUUGAACAAAUUUGAUCGUCGAAGCCUCUUCGCCUUAACCUCCUCAGACACAAAAGCAACAUCUCAUCUCUUUUGCUCCAUCAGAUUACUAAUCAGUUCGUUCAUUCAUUUGAUUGAUUUCCAUCUUCGAAUAUUAUUUAAAAUUUUUCAUACGCAGAAAGUGAUCGGCAUCUAGAAUCGGAAUGGCGGCGGAGGCGAUCGCCUCGUCGGACGUGGUUUCGGGUGACAUGAUUUUUGAACCGGUUUUAGAGGAAGGAGUUUUCCGGUUCGAUUGUUCGGCGAGUGAUCGUCAAGCAGCGUAUCCGAGUCUCUCGUUUGUGAAUGGAAAGGAUAGGGACACGCCAAUCUCGACUCACAUGCGCCCUUUAUACACUCCAACUUAUCAAUGUGUCCGCGGUCAACAGAUAGUCAAACUUGAGGUUCACUCUCUGCGUACAUUGCCCUUUCUUAAUUUCUUUAGUAAUGCAUGUCUUUUUUUUUUUUUUUUUUCCAAGCUAGAUUAAUCUGAUGGCUUUUUGUUCUGAUUGUAGUUUCCUGCUGGUACCUCGUUGUAUGGAACUGGGGAAGUUAGUGGUCAGCUAGAGCGGACGGGAAAGAGAGUGAGUUCCUGUUUAUUUAUUUUUGGAUAUGACGUGCAGGGAGCCUUUACUUGUUCAACUACAAUGUGGUGAACUUUUUUCCUGUAGAUUUUUACAUGGAACACGGUUUCGGGGGGCUAUGGUACUGGAACAACGUCCUUGUAUCAGUCACAUCCUUGGGUGCUUGCCGUUCUUCCGAAUGGAGAGGCAUUGGGGGUUCUUGCUGACACAACACGUCGAUGUGAGGUGUGGCUUUCUUGUGAACUUUGAAAGUCAUGAUGUCUUGCUUUUGAGUUGUGUUUUGGUCCAUUGUGUGCUUGUUUUGUGUUUGGAAUCUCAUUAAUUAAAGGGCAAAUAUCAUUAACUCCUAGACUCCUGGCUAAAAUCAAGCAGCUUUAAGGUCUUUUUCUCUGUCUUCACAUGUGGCCAUGUUGGACUAAAGCGAAUAUACUUCAGAUUUCUCUCAAAACUAGCCUAUAGUGACUCUCAUAUUUGCUCCUAAUUUCCAAAGCUUACUUUUGUUCUUUCUGCUGUAUUUUAUUUCUUAGAUUGAUUAAUUGGUUUUUUCAGCAUUCUAUUGUUUGUCAGUUGAGGAAAUUGAUGGAUUGUAAUGAGGAAUUAAAUGAGAAACAUGCAAACAGUGUGGAGCAGCUUGAUUUCAGACUAAACCUUCAGGAGCUUGAUUGUAUUUUCCCUUUAAUUAAGUAGGCCCCAAAAUGAGAGAGGGAUGGGGGGUUGGGGUGGGGUUGUUGGAGGACAAAUUGCUAUUGUUGAGUAAAAAGUUAACCUAUUAUGAACUUUUGUGGUAACCCACAUGGAUCUAUCCUAACAGUCCUCUGUAUUUAUUCUCCUGCAGAUUGAUCUGAGGAAAGAAUCAACAAUACAGUUCAUUGCUCCAUCCUCAUAUCCUGUUAUUACAUUUGGCCCUUUCACUUCUCCUACUGAUGCUCUGGUUUCUCUUUCUCAUACAGUUGGUAAUCUCCUGGACCAAGCUUUCUCUUCUUCAAGUGCUCCAUGUCCUUGUCAAGUUUUUAUGAUGCCAAGAUAUCUUCCUCUGUCACAGUUCGCUCUUUCAUGAUUUUCAUGUUGAGUCAGGAAACAUAAUACAUAUAAUAUGUUCCUUUGUUUUUUGUGGUUUAAAGGGUAUCUAUUUUUCUUUUAACUCUUCCUUGAGUGAUGCAUGAGUUGAAUUCUGUGUUUCGUUGAGGUAUUUAGAUAUAGAUAUUUUGUUCUCAAAGCUUCUCUGCUAAUACAAUAAUAAGAGUAAUCCUAAUAAAAUAAAAGCAAUCCUUCUUGAAUCAAGCUUAAUGGACAGAGUGAUUAAAAGUGUGUUUCGUAUCAUUUUAAAAAACAGUUCUCAAACCUACUUAUGAAAAUGACAGUUGAUGUUCUUCAAAUGAUGUUUACCUGAUCAAAGAAUGCUUUUGGUAGUGACUGCUAUAAUUUUUUCUAAAAAUAAAAUUGGGAGAACAUAUUUGGUAUUCUUGAAAAUGAGAUUUUUAUAUUAUUGUUAAUGUUACUAUUUAUCUUUUUGUAGUUAAUUCAUUUUCAUAAUUCCGGAAUUCUAGUUAUAAUUUUGAAUAUUCAUUUUUUGUUCUGCAUAUUGGUUUCUAGAAAACACCACUCCUAUUAAAAUUAUACUUUUUGUUUUUGGAGACAUAAAAUCUAUUUGAGAAACAUAACCAAACUCUCAUUAAUAUACUUUCAUGACCUAUAAUGAUCUGUUAUGAGCUUUUUUCAUUGUUUGAGUCUGUGAAUUAUCAUUGAUGAAAUAGAUAGAGGCCUCCAGUUAAACAGAGCAAUGAUGGCAAUAAUGAAAAGUUUUGGAAUUUUGCAUAUUUGUCCAUCUUCAUUUCUUCACAGGAACAGCAUUGUGGCAGUUAGAUUAGUGUUUCAAGAGCUUCUUGGAUCUUUUUAUUUUUAAUGUAUCAUCUUCACAAUUUUUUUUUUUUUAAUUUAUUCUUCUUUAAAGCAAAGAAACUGCUAAUUGUAAUUUACAUUUUAUGGGUUUACAACAGUGAAAAAGCUGUCCACAAAAACAAUAACAUAUGGCUUGGACUCACACUUUGUAAUUGUUGAUUUUUCUUAUUAGGGACUGUGUUUAUGCCGCCAAAAUGGUCCUUAGGCUACAACCAAUGUCGCUGGAGCUAUGAUUCUGAAAAGAGAGUUCGUGAGGUUGGUUCUUUCUCUUUUUCCCAAUGAAUUUUUCUUCCUUAUUUGCUUCAUUUUUGGAAGGACAACAAAAUUCUAAAAAAUUGUUAUUCCUAAAGUUUGAUCACCAUUGUGCUUUCUAUAUCCUUCUAUUAUACAUUUUAUUUUGUGCUUUUCUGAUUAUUAACCCAUCAUAUAUUCAGAUUUGCAGGACAUUUCGUGAGAAAGGUAUACCCUGUGAUGUUAUAUGGUUGGAUAUCGACUACAUGGAUGGAUUUUGUUGUUUCACUUUUGACAAGGCAUGUUCUUUCUUAAUGAUAUUUCUGGAUGAUACGUCUAUUGCACCAUUAAUUUAUUAUGAGUUAAAAUUAAAUCAACAUUCAUUAAAGCAAUAAAAAGCAAAUAUCAACCCAGAGGAGAGUUUCUUCAGUUCGUUUAGACUUCCAAAAAUUGAUUAAGUAGAGUACUUUCUAGAACUUCAGUUUCAUUUCAAUGUGCUCAGGAUGCAGUAAUAUUAACAAUAUAUGAAACUAAUUCCUCUCAUGAAGGUUAGUAGAUAAAGAAAAAAGAUGGUCCCUUCGUUCAUUUGCUGGCCUAGCAUCUGCUAGGACAAAAACUUGGUUAUGGAAAACCUUUUUGAACUUAACAAUAUUCACACUAUAUAUUUUUAUUAUAAGGACAUGUCUCCAGGCAAGGCGUUGCUUUUACAUAGCUGUAUAUUAGCCAUUAUGUGAGAACACUAUAAUCAUUGAUAUGGGUAGUGAAUUAUAAUGAUUUCUUUUAGGAGCGUUUCCCAGAUCCGAAAUCUUUGGUAGCGGAUCUCCACCUUAAUGGUUUCAAAGCAAUGUGGAUGCUUGAUCCAGGAAUUAAACAUGAAGAUGGUUAUUUUGUGUAUGAUAGCGGCUCUAAAAUUGACGUGUGGAUUCAGAAAGCAGAUGGGACGCCUUUUAUUGGUACUUUUCUUUAUUUGAUGAAGCUGAUUUUUUAAAUUAAUUUUUUGAGGUGUUAAAGUUAUCAAUGUCCUUAUUUCAGGGGAGGUGUGGCCUGGGCCUUGUGUUUUCCCUGAUUAUACUCAAUCAAAAGUUCGUUCCUGGUGGGCCUCUUUAGUUAAGGAUUUCAUUUAUAAUGGAGUUGAUGGUAUAUGGAAUGAUAUGAACGAGCCAGCUGUCUUUAAGGUUAUUCUUAUAUUUAUUCCUAUGCAUGUGCAUUCUCUUUUAUUUGUAUGUGGUCUUACUGCUUUCUUUCUUUCAGUCUGUAACAAAGACAAUGCCUGAGAGCAACAUUCACAGAGGGGAUGAUGAAAUUGGAGGUUGUCAAAAUCACUCGUACUAUCACAACGUAUAAUUUUUCAACCCUAAUCUGGUGGCUUUCUUCUUACAUGUAAUCUCUUUUGCUAUUAGUUUGUACGUGCAUAGAUCUCUUCGGUUAUGCUAUUUUGCCCGCAACGUAACCCAUGUGCGAAUGGUUAUUCCCAUGAUGGCAGUUAUUAACAUGGGUUGCCAAACUUAGGUUUAUGGCAUGCUAAUGGCAAGAUCGACGUAUGAAGGCAUGAAGUUAGCUGAUAAAGAUAAGCGUACUUUUGUUCUCACCAGAGCUGGAUUUAUUGGUAGUCAAAGAUAUGCUGCCACAUGGACAGGAGAUAACGUUUCAAAUUGGGAGCACCUUCAUAUGAGUAUAUCCAUGGUACUUCAAUUGGUAAGUGUUCAGUUGUUCAUUUUUUCUGUUUUCACAAAGUACUAAUGAGCUAAACGCUUUAUGCCCUAAAUAAUUUAUGCCUUUUCCCCCUGCUAUAGGUGAUGCUUUUGUCUCUCUGACCAAUCGUUACACUUUCUUUAUAGGGAAGACUUAAGUGCUGUAUAAAUGAUGGAUGCGGAUAAGAAGUUUGGUUUGUGGUCUCUUUCAAGAGUAUAACUAGUCAUCUUUUGCUUUGUCUAAAACCUGAAAACUGUAGAACCAACCAUUAGGCAGCAUCUUUGGUCAAAGUUGUUUUGUCGUAAUCCUCUAAUUCAUCAUAGAUCUAACUUGGGAAGGGGUCCUGAAUUUAUUUUGUGAAUUUUGGGUUUGCUUUAUUUGUUUUGAGACAAUUUAGUCCUAAAGAUCCUAUGCUUUUCUUGGAAAGCUUAUCAGUUUAGAAUUGGAUAGAACAUUUCUGUGAUCUUUUGGGAGUUCUUUUUUUGUGAACUCACUCAAUUCUUUGUAUAUCCCUUGUUUUUAGUACAAGGUUCUUCGUUUCCUAAAAGAAAAUUAUUUUCUCAUUCUUAUUAUGAAAGGUAUUCAACUUUUUUACCUUCGAUCUUUCUUUAGACUUUUUAUUUUCACCUAUGAAAUUAUACUAGUUCUUCAUAACCAAAUACCCUCGACUGCCACAUUAUACCAAUUCUGCAGUCCCUGUUAAUCAUCUUCUUCCUUCAGCUAGGGCAUGAAAUUUACAUGCUACCUAGAAUUCUAGAGGUUUGUGAUGGUUUAAUUUGGAUGCUGAGCAAUUUUUCACCAUCUUCAAUCAAUAGGAUUCUUAAAGUAAAACAUGAGGUCAUAUCUUCCCUUGACUGCCACAUUAUACCAAUUCUGCAGUCCUUGUUAAUCAUCUUCUUCCUUCACCUAGGGCAUGAAAUUUACAUGCUACCUAGAAUUCUGGAGCUUUGUGAUGGUUUAAUUUGGAUGCUGAGCAAUUUUUCACCAUCUUCAAUCAAUAGGGUUCUUGAAGUAAAACAUGAGGUCAUAUCUUCCCUCUUUCAAUCCUGCUUCAAGUAAUUAAGCUGCGUCUCCUAUUCUUCCCCUCCCCACCCAACACCCCCCACCCCAAAAAAAAAAAAAAAAAAGCACUGUCUUGAAUCUGCACGACACUUCCUGAUACGUCGCUUUCAUCAAUUUUAGUAUCAUAUCAAUGCAGGCUUACAGUAAUUAUUUGUGCCUGGCUAUAGUCUUUUGGCAUUAUCUUGCUUCUCUAUGACUUUUUGUUUAUUAAUCUUAGGCUAUGAGUCUGUCAUCCAGAAAACAUACUAAUGCAAGCCUUUGUCUAACUAAAUAUAUUUGCUUAAGUUUGUAUUUGGAUACAAUUCUGACAUCCGACAUUAUCUUAACACACAGCUGGCUUUGCAGAACUGUUUGUCUUGGUUCCGAAUUUUUGAACUGAAUUACUUGGAGGCAACAUAUGUUCUUUUUUUUUUUUUGGGUUAUUUCUUUCUGACAUAUUCUACAUUCUGAUACAUUAUUUUAUUUUGUAUUAGGGACUUAGUGGUCAGCCACUUUCAGGACCUGAUAUUGGUGGAUUUGAUGGAAAUGCAACACCAAGACUUUUUGGACGGUGGAUGGGUAUAGGUGCUAUGUUUCCUUUUUGCCGGGGGCACACUGAAAGCGACUCUAUUGACCAUGAACCUUGGUCUUUUGGGGAAGAGGUAUUUUUCUGCUCUAGCAUUGUUAUUAUAGCCUUUUUCUGUUUCAAACUUGAAUGAGUGGAUUCUUUUAAGUGCUACAGGUUAUGGAGAAUGAAAUUGUUUUCCUAUUAUUGAUGACUGAAAAGGCCCAAAAAUAUGUUAAAACGCUAAUUAUAACUGAAAGAGCACUUUAUGAAAAACAUUCUUUUUAUAUUUGGAAAAAAAAUCAAUUGCCUCUCUUAAGCACAAUAAAAGUUAUAAAUCAUAUGAGAGCUUGUGGUAUGUAUGAAAAAAAUCUUGGAAUGUCAGAUUUUAUGAAAUGUUCUAUUUCCGAGCAAUGGGGUAGACUGCAGAUGGCAGCAAAAAUAUUUAAGCAGGAGGAUGCCGACUAACUAAAUGACAAUUAAUUUAAUCUGCUGUCUUUGCUUAUUAAGUACUACCGUAAUUUAUUUAGAGCUUAGUUGAUCUUACUAAAGGAGGUUACCUGUGAAUAUGCAUGCUUGAUCAAAGUACAUAAACUAAACAUUGAUUAGUCAAAAGAUCUCAGUAAUUGUGGUGAGAACCCCGGUGUAGUACCUUGCAUAAACUUUAAGUUAUAUCUACUUCAUGUCCUCAAGAAGAAUGAUGUCAAGGCAAAACCAAGAGUCUGUUUGAUCUGCCGAUGAUUAAAAACUAAAUUUAGACAAGCAUAUGUCCGAAUCAAUCCAUGUGGGUCUGAAAAAAAGAAAAAAAAAAAAGAGGUUGUUUGAUCGAACUAUAUGAUGUGUGCAUUGAGUUAGAGCUGAGGAGAUCUAUGGUAAAGCUGAUAGGUGAAGGACCCAACAAUAGUAUUUAACUUCUUACACACCUCGUAUAAUGCAAGGCAUGUGAACUAAACACAACAAAGAACCAAAUACACAUUUUCGUUGAUGUGCUUUUGCAUGUCAACCAAAAGAAAAACACCACGAACCUUAAUAACUGCAAAAAUUUUAUUUUAAUAAUGUUGAUAAAUUAGAAGUAAUUGAUAAGGAUUUGUUUGUUAGAGAUUUGGAUAAAAUCUUAAGAUUUAGGGAUGAGAUAAGUUAGUUCCUAAGUAUAGGAUUAAUCCUUUAUUUUUCCCUAUUUAAAUUGUUUGUUUUCUCUAUUUUUUAAAUGAAUUGAAUAAGAGAAUUUUUCCUCCUUCUUCCUCUGUAAAAUCUACAUGGUAUCAGAGCCUAGGGUUUGAUCAUGAAUUUUAAGGCCGCCAUGGUUGGCUCUAGUUCAACCUCUUUGGAUGGCAGCAGUAGUAGGACUUCAUCGGAGGAAGUUUCUCAGCCACUUCCGGCUGUUUCUCUUUCUGAAAAUUCUCUUCAAAUUACCAUUCACAAAUUGAAUGGAAAGAAUUAUUUUGAAUGGUCUCAGUCUGUUCGUUUGGUGAUUGAUGGAAAAGGGAAACUAGGGUACUUGAAUGGCGAGGUAACACCACCAGCCACUAAUGAUCCAAAAUACAGGCAGUGGCGUUCAGAGAAUUCAAUGGUUACUGCCUGGCUGAUCAACUCAAUGGAUUCUAUUAUUGGAAAAACCUUCAUGUACUUGAAGACUGCUCGUGAUGUCUGGGAAGCAGUUCGGGAAACCUACUCAGAUUUGGAAAAUCAGUCACAAUUGUAUGAAUUAAACACCCGUAUGUGGAAGAUGCAGCAAGGUAAUCGUGAUGUAACAGCUUAUUAUAAUGAUAUGAUGGCUGUUUGGCAGAAAUUGGAUUUGUUUGAAGAUGAACAAUGGGAAAAUUCUAAUGACAGUGCUCGAUACAAAAAGAAAGUUGAAAGAGGUCGGGUAUUUGUUUUCUUGGCUGGUUUGAACAAAGAACUUGAUGAGGUUCGAGGACGUAUACUAGGGAAAAAACCUUUGCCAACUAUUAGAGAAGUUUUCUCAGAAGUGCGCAAAGAAGAAGCACGACGGCAAGUGAUGUUGAAGAAUAACGAUGAACCAAAAAUAAAUAGUGAAGGAUCUGCUCUUGUGACUCGAGGUACAGACUCAGGGGGAAAGCAGAAGCCCUGGUGUGACUAUUGUCAAAAGCCGUGGCAUACUCGAGAAAGUUGCUGGAAGUUGCAUGGGAAACCAAAGAAAAAAACAGGCAGUGACACCAAGUCAGGGGCAGAUGUCCGCGCAUUUCAAGCUAGCAGCACAGAUCCAGGGCAGCAAUCAUCCUCAGAGUCUCUUCCUUUUACCAAAGAACAGAUAGAGCAUCUAUAUAAAAUGUUUCAGUCCCAAUCCUUAGAAAAAUCUAACCCAUCUUGUUCUCUAGCACAGUCAGGUAAUUCUUUCAUUGCAGCCCUAGCGUGUACUAAGUUUCAUGGCUCCUGGAUAUUAGAUUCAGGUGCUACUGAUCAUAUGACCGGUAAUUCGGAGCUCUUUUCCUCAUAUAUACCUUGUGCAGGAAAUCAAAAGGUUAAAAUUGCAAAUGGUUCCUUAGCUACUGUUGCUGGAAAAGGAACAGUUACUAUUUCUCCUUCUCUAGUCCUUAAGAAUGUUUUGCACGUCCCACAUUUGUCUUAUAAUCUUUUAUCUAUUAGUAAAUUAACUUUUGAUCACAACUGUCAAGUUAUUUUUCAAUCUUCCUGUUGUAAAUUUCAGGAUUUAACCUCGGGGAAGAUGAUUGGGGGUGCUAAAAUGGGUGGUGGACUCUACUUCUUUAAUAACGGAUCAACCUAUGGAAGGCAAGAUCUGCAGACUUGUUUUAAUUCUAUCUCUGUUGUUAAUGACAGUAAGAUUAUGUUAUGGCAUUAUCGAUUAGGACAUCCAAAUUUUCAAUAUUUAAAGCUUUUGUUACCCAAGUUAUUCAUGAAUAAAAAUCCUUCUGGUUUUCGAUGUGAAUCUUGUGAAUUAGCUAAACAUCAUCGAGCUAUUUUUCAAUCUCAACCAUAUAAAAAAUCAAAACCAUUUAUCAUGAUUCAUAGUGAUGUUUGGGGUCCUUCUAGAGUGCCAACUUUUUCUGGAAAGCGCUGGUUUAUUCUUUUUAUUGAUGAUCAUACUAGAGUCACUUGGGUCUUUCUUUUAAAAGAAAAAUCUGAUGCUGAAACUGUGUUUAUAAAUUUUUAUAAUAUGGUUCAGACACAAUUUCAGACUCAGAUUAAAAUUUUUCGAAGUGAUAAUGGAAAAGAGUUUUUUAUCAAAGUGUUAGGGAAUUUUUUUUGCUGAAAAGGGGAUUGUUCACCAAAGUUCUUGUAAUAAUACACCUCAACAGAAUGGGGUGGCUGAAAGAAAAAACAGACAUCUCCUUGAAGUUGUUAGAGCUAUUAGUUUUACGACUAAGGUUCCUAAAUACCUUUGGGGAGAAGCAGUGUUAACAGCCACUUAUUUGAUUAAUAGACUGCCUACGAAAAUUUUGGACUUUAAACCACCAAUUAAAGUUUUAAGUGAAUGGUUUCCCACAACUCGGCUAACAACCGAUAUUCCCUUUAAAAUUUUUGGAAGUGUGGCUUUUGUUCAUAAUCAUGAUACUAGACGUUCAAAACUUGAUCCAAAGGCACAUAAAUGUAUUUUUGUAGGCUAUCCUACAAAUCAAAGAGGUUAUAAAUGUUUUGAUCCAAUUCUGAAAAAAAUGUUUGUGUUUAUGGAUGUCACUUUUUUUGAAGGACAGUCAUACUACAACAAUUUCCAUCUUCAGGGGGAGAGCACUAGUGAAGAUGAAUUUUUAGAUAAUUUUGAUUUAACUUUUGAGUUUGUUCAGGAUGAUGAUGUUUCUUACAAACAGUCACCGAAAGAAAAUGGGAUGGGAAACACAAAAACAGUGGAAACAAAUGAACUAAAUGUUGAAAAUAUUGAAUCCACAACUGAACAACCUUUGGUAAUUCCUUCUCAAAAUCAAAAUACUGAAACAACUGAGAUGUGUACAAAACGGUUUAAAGGUCUUGUAUAUUCAAAGGAACAUCUAGCACAAAAAAGAGCCACUAUCCCACAGCACUAUCAAGAAUCUAACCAGAGGUUGGAUCAUGAAGUUUGUGACGAUUCUUCAGAAAUCCCUGAAAACAAUCCUCCAGGUAAUUAUGAGUCAAAUUCUUCUAGUCAGCUUGAUCUUCCCAUUGCUCUUAGAAAAGGUAUUAGGUCUUGUACAAAACAUCCUUUGUCAAAUUUUAUAUCUUACAAAAAUAUUUCUUCAUCAUAUUGUGCUUUUAUUUCACAAGUGUCCAGUGUGGUUAUUCCUAAAAGUGUCUAUGAGGCUCUAAAUGUUCCUGAGUGGAAAGACGCAAUGCUUGAGGAGAUGAGCGCCCUGGAGAAGAAUGCUACUUGGGAGAAAGUGGAUCUGCGGGAUGGAAAGACAACUGUCGGCUGUAAAUGGGUGUUUACUGUGAAGUACAAUUCAGAUGGAUCCUUGGAAAGGUACAAGGCUAGACUUGUAGCCAAAGGUUUCACUCAGACAUACAGAGUAGACUACUCUGAGACUUUCUCUCCAGUGGCAAAGCUAAAUACAGUUAGAGUACUCUUGUCUAUUGCAGCUAAUCUUGAUUGGCCUCUAAAUCAGCUGGAUGUGAAGAAUGCUUUUUUGAAUGGGGACUUAGAGGAGGAAGUCUAUAUGGAGCCUCCACCGGGUUUUAAUGAGAAAUUUGGAACCAAGGUAUGUAAGCUAAAAAGGUCUUUAUACGGCCUUAAACAGUCCCCCAGAGCUUGGUUUGAGAGGUUCACAAGUUUUGUUAAAAGCCAAGGAUAUGAUCAAGGGCAAUCUGAUCAUACGCUGUUCACAAAGAGAUCUGUUGAAGAUAAAAUUUCUGUCCUUAUUGUCUAUGUAGAUGAUAUAAUUUUAACUGGAGAUGAUAUAGUAGAAAUGAGCAGAUUGAAACAAAACCUAGCCAAGGAGUUUGAGAUUAAAGAUUUAGGCCAACUAAAAUACUUUCUUGGAAUGGAAGUGGCAAGAUCAAAGAAGGGCAUUGUUGUCUCACAACGGAAGUAUAUUCUUGAUCUCUUGAAAGAAACUAGGAUGAGUGGUUGCAAACCUUCUGACACUCCAAUAGAAGCCAACUCUAAGCUUGGGGAAGUAAAAAAUGGUGUUCCAGUAGACAAGGGGAGAUAUCAAAGACUAGUUGGGAGACUAAUUUACUUGUCACAUACUCGUCCGGACAUUGCUUUCGCUGUAAGCAUGGUAAGCCAAUUUAUGCAUUCCCCAUAUGAAGAACAUCUUGAAGCUGUAUACCGAAUCCUUCGUUAUCUGAAAAGUACACCAGGAAAAGGACUCUUCUUCAAGAAAAAUGAGAAGAGGGGAAUUGAGGUGUAUACUGAUGCUGAUUGGGCAGGUUCAGUCACUGAUAGAAGGGUCAACUUCGGGGUACUGUACAUUUCUAUGGGGUAAUUUAGUCACGUGGAGAAGCAAGAAGCAGAAUGUUGUUGCUAGAAGUAGUGCAGAGGCUGAAUUCAGAUCAAUGGCGCAAGGAGUAUGUGAGAUUCUUUGGCUAAAAAGGGUUCUAGAAGAGCUUAAAAGGCCAGUGAGUUUGCCUAUGAAGUUGUAUUGUGAUAACAAGGCAGCUAUCAGCAUUGCUCAUAAUCUUGUUCUACAUGACAAGAUGAAACAUGUUGAGAUUGACAGGCACUUUAUAACAGAAAAGCUUAAAGAAGGAAUAAUUUGUACUCCAUUUGUACUGACCACACAGCAAGUUGCAGAUGUUUUAACUAAAGGCUUGCUGAGACAGCCAUUUGAAGUUCAAGUUAGCAAGUUGGGCAUGACAAAUAUAUUUGCACCAACUUGAGGGGGAGUGUUGAUAAAUUAGAAGUAAUUGAUAAGGAUUUGUUUGUUAGAGAUUUGGAUAAAAUCCUAAGAUUUAGGGAUGAGAUAAGUUAGUUCCUAAGUAUAGGAUUAAUCCUUUAUUUUUCCCUAUUUAAGUUGUUUGUUUUCUCUAUUUUUUAAAUGAAUUGAAUAAGAGAAUUUUUCCUCCUUCUUCCUCUGUAAAAUCUACAAAUAACAAUGAGAGGAUUCGAACAAUAGACUACUUGGUCAAACUUAAACUGAUGGCUAAAAGCCAACAAUUGCAUUUAAUUUCUAUCAAUUUUUUUACAUUAAACAAGUGAGAGUGACUACCUACUCUAACAUUACUUAAAUAAGUUUUGUUUCUGGUGACAAAAUGGUUGUGUUUUCUUUGGGUUUAUUUGAUGUCAACUUGAGUAUCUAAAAGUAACAUGAGUUCUAUUUCUUUAGUGUGAGGAAGUUUGUCGGCUGGCCUUGAAGAGGCGCUAUCGCCUUCUACCUCAUAUCUACACUCUAUUUUACAUGGCUCAUACAACUGGCACUCUGGUGGGAAGUCCUACCUUUUUCGCUGGUAUGUCCUUGUGUGAGUGUAUUGGUUUUGUUCCUUGUGGAGCAUUAUGAAAUGUGUUACCUUUUUAUACAGGCUUUAAAACAAAUGUAAAUUGCCUGUGCAGAUCCUGAAGAUCUCACCUUGAGGAAACUUGAAAAUUCAUUUCUAUUGGGUCCGGUUUUAGUUUGUGCAAGGUUCUUAUUCUCUUCCUUAGACAUGACAUACUUGAUGACAGUGGGAUAGUGUAUAUGCCUUAGUUUCCCAUUUUCAUCCUGGUUUUAUGCCUUAAUCGCCUUCUCAUCUACUUGACCAUGAUUAUCGAAUUUUACUUGUGAUUUGAUUUUCCUGCUGAUAGCAUGGUUAUCUUCAUUCUAAAUAUUAUAUCAAUGUUAACCAACCACUGGCCGACCCUGGUGUGAAUAUAACUGGAACUUAGUCCUGUUGUCCCACCCUGAGAGAUUUUACCAAUUAAACCAAAUAUUUGAAUUUAAUAAUUGUGCUCUUUUUUUUUUUUUUUUUGGUAGCACAACGAUAUUUAGUUUUUUAGAAAUUGUUGAAAGCUUUCCAUACAAAAGAAUGCAAUCUCUCAAUAAAUUUUUGGGGGGAUGCUUUUGAAGAUAUAGCCUGGUCUCUCAUGUCUUAGUUGUCAUCUCAAGUUAACUAUCCAAAGCAACAGAAUGCCAACUGCACGAUGUUAGUGACAGAUUCUUUAUGCAACAAUGUUCAACAGCUUCUUUCCCUUUUCUGAGAAUUAUCCUUCUCUGAGAGGGUUACAUACUUAUCUUAUUCAAAAUCCUCAAAAUGAAAUAUUGUUUACUGUCGUGUAGUAAUUUCUGUUCUUGAUUUGAUGUCAUUGUUCUAAAACCACUUCUUUCUUUCUUUAUUGAAUAUAUCUUUCUAGUUUGUUAUCAAAGAAAAAGAUAGUGUAUCACCAAGAUAUUUUCUUUUGUGUACUGGGGAAAGUAAAAAAAUCAAAUAAGAAAAAAAAAAGGAAAAUGUCACAGUAUUAUUUACUUUCUUGAUUUUUUUUUUGUGUGUUGAACCCUUUUAAAUUUCUUUGAACUGUUGAAUUCUCUUGAUGUCACUCUUCUCAUGGAUUGUUAAGAGUGGGGUUAAGUUGGAGGACCUUGUAUUUUGCUUCUCAUCAUGCAUAUACUAACAUCCAUAUUUAUUCUUAAUUAGCACAUUGCCUGAUCAGAGGUCAGAUAAGCUGCAGCAUGCACUACCCAAGGGAAUUUGGCAAAGUUUUGAUUUUGGAGAUUCACAUCCGGUAUCUGUUCUUGGACAUUUAUCUGUAUCCAUUAAGGUCAUGUCUUGUUUCCUUUUUUCUAAAAAAAUGAAUUUUGAUCUUUUUCCCCCUUUUGUUCUUUUUGUAAUAUACCAGGAUUUACCAUCUUUAUAUUUGUGAGGUGGAUCAAUUUUACCUUUAGGUCCUCCGCAUCAGCAUGUUGGUGAAUCUAAGCCAUCUGACGACUUAACACUUCUGGUGGCUUUAGAUGAGAAUGGUAAUUUUGAUACAUUAAAUUUUUGUAGAACAAACUUUAAAUUUGAAGCUAAUAAUUUCCAAAAAUGUUUAUCAUCCGAUGUAGUUCAUAUUCUAAAGCAUUCUACUUGCCUGCUGAUUUUUCUGGUUUGAUUUUUUGCCUACCAGAUUGCAAUCUUAUGUGAUGGUUUAAGCUGCCUACAAUUUUUGUUACUAUAAAUUGAAGGUUUUGACAGGGGAGAUAGUAGUUUUGAUGCUUUUAAGUUAGUAAUUUCUUUAAACUGUUUGUCCCCAUGGCUAAAUAUUAAUGUAGAAUAACCAGAGAGCUAACACCUGAAACAUUGACCUUGCUGGCAAUCAACCACCUGCAUGUCAUCACCAACAGCACCAGUGAUUUUUCUGGCAAUCAAACUGUUCAUUUCAUUCAUCAGUCAUCUUCAGCCCACACCAUUACUUCCAUUGGUUAUACACAUGGCGUAAUGUUGCCGACAUAGAAUUGAUUCCUUGCUUUUGCCAGAUCCAGGUUCUUUUUCCAGUCUUCUGGGCUUUGAAAUCUUGGGCCACUUUUUGUAGGCCUUUUUUGGUCAGAUGCACUUGCUCUUUAAGUAUUUUGCCAUGGUUGAUUUUGUUGAAAUAGUUGAGUGAUUUGCAUUUUGAUCCAUGUCUCCAAAAUUCUGAUCAUAAAGAAAGAAUAUGACAAAAUUUUGUCAACUUGAUCAUGCCCAAGAUAAUAUUCCAUUACUUUGUUUUCUUCUUUUCAGUGAUAUGUCUUCAUGCGAGUUUGUGAAAUGACUAAAAGUUUGAUAGCCUUUCCAACUUUAUUGCUAUGUGUUAGACCACCUAUUCGUUUUACUUAUUCUAGAAGAAAGAUUGGAACCAUGUGUUAGGCCACAAGUGCGUUUCACAUAUGCAAGGCGCAAGGGUAAUUCCGGAAAUACCAAUCGUGGCUGACGUGUCAUCAAGUAGUAUAGAGAGAAGAGUUUGUUAUGCAUUUCUGUUAGUAAUAAGUUGAUGGUAUUCGGUUUUGAUAAUUUGUUAGAUUUUUCUGUUAUUCUAUUGGGGCGUAGAAGUGAGGAGGUUAUAUGGAGAGGAGCUGUUUUUUGGGAGGGGGAUCCAGAGAAUUAUUUUGUAGUGAGCUUGCUCACUUUUUGGGAGAGAUACCAAGCCUCUCGAAUGCUUGGGUGUUUUGGUUUAUUUCUGCAGAUAAAUACCAGUUUUCCUACUUCCAACAACAUUCUGCUCUCUACUGUGUUGUUUAUCUAACCAUUUCAGUUCAGGGCUUAUCACCAUGUGAGGAGGGAACCAUGUGAGGGAUUAGUGGGUCAGUUAUAAAAGGAUAAUUAAUAAGGGGUGUGUCUGUAUUCAGUUAUUUGUGUUCAGUUAUGAGGGCAUCCUAAGGGAUUCUUAUAGGGUAAGGAGAAUCAGAAGAGGGUGUGUAUCAAUUUGUUGAGAGCCUUGCUCUUGGGAGGGAAUCUAGGACUCUCGAAAUUCCUGGAAGUGUUGUAAGGUGUUUUAUCCACUGUUUUCACAAUAAAAACUGAUCUCGAAUAUAUUUCCAGAUUUCAUAAAUUUACCAAGUGUAACAGAAUGCUAUUGAUCCUGCUUUCCUUUAGCUUCUGUAUAACUUCCUUAUUUUAUCUUACAGGCAAAGCAAAAGGUGUUCUAUUUGAAGAUGAUGGUGACGGAUAUGGAUUCACUGAAGGUCAAUAUCUACUGACACACUAUGAAGCUGAGCUUCAGAUGUCAGAGGUUACUAUUAGAGUUUCCAAAUCUGAAGGAUUAUGGAAAAGGCCAAAACGUCGUCUUAUUGUAAAAAUAUUACUUGGUGGAGGUGCAGUGGUUUGUCUUCUUUCCCUGAGAAAUAUUCAUUAAAAUCCUACAUUAUGCUUUUGUUAUUUACCUUCUGGAGCAUCUGUUUAAAAGAUUUUUAGUAACUGAACUUUUGCGAAAACAGAUUGAUGCAUGGGGAAUGGAUGGAGAGGAUUUGCAAAUUGCAAUGCCAGCAGAAGCUGAAGUGUCUAAUUUGGUAUCGGGGAGUAAGGAAAAGUACAAGAUUUGUAUGGGUAAUGCUGCUUCCCAAAGCCGUCUGAGGCUCACUCAUUCAUUGGAAUUAUCCACUAAUUACUAUUUGUUGAUUUCUUUUUCAAUUUUCUUAACUAGAUUUUUUUUGGUUAAAUUACUUGAGAGAUUUUAGUGUACUUAUCCAUCCUCUUGAAUUAAGUAGAUUUACACUACAAAUUCAAAUGUGAUGUUCGUGAACAUUCUGAUGUUCUUAUUGCAUUACCUUGUUCAGUCAGAUAUCUUCAAUUGUAUUAUUUGAUUAGGUGUCUUUCUGGAAAUUGCAUUAUUAUUCAUGCAAUUUUAUGGCUUCAUGUGUGUAAAACUAAAAAAUGGGUUCUGAGUCAUGGUUUCUAAGCUUUUCCUGUGGAUUUCUUAUAGAUAGUUCCCUGUCUGUUGUUUAUUGACAGAUGGCUUGAGUUGGGAGGUUAAAACUACAGGAAUUCUUGCAUUUCAGAUUUUUUCAAUUUCUGCUUGUAGAGCAAUUUUAUAAAUUGGAUAGUAUUUGCAGAACUUGAUUACUAGGCCUUAACACCAUUUAUUUCUGAAAUUCUCUCAAAAUGUAAUUUUUUAAUGUUCAUGGCCAUAUUGCCCCAGUAAAUAUGUUGUUAAUUGAAGAAUUCAUUAUCUUGUUCCAGAUGUGCGAUUGUCAGAAGAAAAGAAAAUAGUUUGAAGAAAUCUUCUAUAAUUUGUUAAUUUCUAUAAAUUGUGUUGAGGACUUGAAAGUGCUAGGAAUUUAAUCAACUAAACUUUAAAUUCUUUAUUAGUGUUUGUGUUGGUUCUGAUGAGGUUUUUUAUUUGCAGAAAGUGCUAAGCUAAUUUCAGAUACGGAAAAGGCUUCUGAACACAUGGGAGUAGAACUUUCAUGGACUCCUAUUGAACUGAAAAGUGGUGAUUGGGCUCUUAAAGUUGUGCCUUGGAUUGGGGGUAGAGUUAUAUCCAUGGCACACCUUCCUUCAGGUAAUUCAUUAUCAUUGUUUUUCUUUGAGUGGGACGACAUCAAUGGUCUUUCUCCCUCUCUCUUUUGGUUAAAGUUGUACCCGUUGAGUUUAUUUUGGCUGUUGUAUAUCGAACAUAUGUGAUAUACUUCAUUGGUCACUUUCUUAAACCCUAAGACAAAGUGGACAUUUUUUUAGUUUUUCCUUGGUGCAACUUUGAGUCUAACGGUCAUCUUACCUCCUUGAAGUCCUAAGUUGUCAUUUUUUACUCUAAUCUUUACACCUAUGAAGACCCUGAUUUUAGAUUAUCAAAGGAGAAAAAAAUCAGGAUCUCUAGACAUGUUUUCUUUACAAGUACUUUAAAGAGACACUUCACUAAAUUUGAAAUAAUUUAAAUACAAAGAUGGAAAAGAAUACUUGAAUUUGUUCCACCGUAAACAUAUUUUGAAAAUUCGUUAGCUGUUUGCUGCUUGAAUGUCCUUAUCGGCCUUAUUGGCCUUAUGCCCCCGGCUACAUGAGAUUUCUUAUUUGAAGAACGUUAGCAUGUACUUUCAUUUCUAGUUUUAUCUUCUUGACUAUACACAUUCUUGUGCAAAAGUGAUGCAUUGCAUGAGAGAGUGUUUUCAGUCACACGCAAGGGAGAGUGUUUUUACAAGUCAAGCACAUGCAAGCAUAUGCACGCCCACAGGCAGAUAGAAAUUUUACAAUUCAGUGGAACCUGACCAAAUCAGUUAAUUAUUCAUUUGUAUUUCUAAUGUGUGAAACAUUAUGUUAACUGCUCAUCCAUUGACUCCAAAUUUAUUAUGUUGACAGGAACACAGUGGCUUCAUAGCAGGGUUGAAGUUAAUGGGUACGAAGAGUAUUGUGGUACUGAAUACCGGUCUGCUGGAUGUACUGAAGAAUACAGUGUCGUAGAGUGAGUUUCCAAUUAAUACGUUGAAAACUUCAUUUCUUUUUUUCGAAGAAGCAUAAUUUAAAUAAUCAAGAGUCAUAAUUAUAUAAUGCUUGCUGGAAUGGGACGUAUUAGAUCAAAGAGCCAAGCAUUUGAUUGAAUUGUUGACAAAUAGCAGUAGGAUGUGUUUGUUUAAUUUAAGAUGGAGUGUUAGAAAAUCAUGUUCUUUCUUUCUUUCCUAUGCUAAAAUAUUAUCCACCUGAUAAUAAAUUUGUUGUGGCUGCUUGUCGUGCCCAAUGUUUCUUUUUCUGUUUUGUGUUAUGCUUCUAUCACCUUUUCUUCUGUUGUAGGAGGAGUCUUCAGCAUGGAGGAGAAGAGGAAUCUCUCAUGUUAGAAAGUGAUAUUGGUGGUGGAAUGAUUCUGCAGAGGAAGUUAACUGUUCCCAAAGAUAAUCCAAAAAUCUUUAAGAUCGAUUCUAAAAUUCUAGCCCGCAACGUUGGUGCUGGCUCUGGUGGCUUUUCAAGGUCUGUUUCAUUCUGUGUUAUCUUUUGUCUCUUUUCGACACAACUACUUCUAACAGCACUAAUUCUGUAUCAUUUGGGACUGUCUGUGGUUUAUCAUUUGAGAAGUACUAAUUUUGUAUCACCUAGAUAAUGGUCUAAGAGUCUUAAAGUGAUGUAGGUCAGUACUCGAAAAAGAAAGCGAAAGGAGACAGUAGAAAAAAUAACAGUAAGUAGAGGGAAUGAAGUAAGAAAUAACUCGGAAGAGAAUGAAAAGAAAGAAUAUGAGACAGAGAAAACGUCUGUUUUCAUUAUGUCAAUCAAUCAUCCACCCCCCACAAUCCGGAUCAGCAGAUUCGGUGGGCAACUCCUGAGUCAACUAUUCUUAAAAUAAUAACAGCAGCUAUGUCAUCUAACUUCAUUCCCAAAAAAUGAAACACUUUAAAAGCGUAAACCUUUGCUAUGUACAAUCGUAGUCAUACUCUCACGCCUUCAUCCGAUUUGUUGUGGGGAUACAAGAUUGGCAUACUUUUGGAGGUUGAAGAGUGAGAGUGACACACCCUUAUUUACUACAUAAAAUUAGUAUACAAACUGAAAUAUUAUUGUUACACAAAUGGAGGCUAAAAAGCAUCUUUCUAUAUUAGUAUUUUAAUGUGUAAUAUUAUUGUUCCUGGAAAUUCAAGUAUUGGAUUUUUCUCUUUAAAAAAAUUAAAGAGAAAUUGCCUCCUUGACACUUUCUCGCAACAUGAAAAGCUCGUUGCUACUUGUGUGUGUUAUGGUUUUCUUGUUUCUCUACACAAACUUUGCAACUUUUACUUUCUGCUGCAGGCUGGUUUGCCUGAGAGUGCACCCCAUGUUCACCCUUCUGCAUCCAACAGAAUCUUUUAUCUCAUUUACCUCCAUUGAUGGGUUGAAGCAAGAAAUUUGGCCAGAAUCUGGGGAGGAGUUUUAUGAAGGAAACCUUCUGCCUAAUGGUAGUACUCUACUUUCAAUUUUAUUUUGGUUUUAUGUCAAAAAGUAUAGCAUUGUCUACUAAAGCAAAAUAUAAAAGGAGCAUUAAGAAAGUCAGUAUACUGAAGGCAUGUAAGGAUGAACACAAAAAUUUUGGUUUCCCUUUUAUUUUUUAUUCAUUUCUGCAAUUGUUCUCCAACUGCUUCCCAAGUGAAUCAUUGUUUAAAAUUAUUUUCAGAGAAAAAAAAGAUCUGUUGAAACAAAUGUGAUGCUGAUAGAUAUUUUCAAACUCAAGUUGUGACCGUGUUUGCCUCACCAUUUAAAAGAAUUGACGAUAAAUUUGUUUUGUAUGUGAUUUUGAUUUCAGGGGAGUGGAUGCUUGUGGAUAAGUGCCAAGGUCUGGCACUUGUUAAUCGAUUUAAUGUCAAGGAAGUUUUCAAGUGUUUCAUCCACUGGGGAACAGGGACAGUCAAUUUGGAGCUCUGGUCUGAAGAAAGGCCAGUUUCAAAGCAGUCACCUCUUGCGAUUUCCCACGAGUACGAGGUGAUAAAAAUUCCAUAGGCACUCGGGCAAAAUUCUACAAAAUAUUCCAAACUGUCAAAGAAGUGUUAUGAAGCUGAAUAAACUAAGACUGAAUGUUUGGCUGGCAGAAUGUAAAUAUCAAUCAGCGGAGCCUAAUAAUAAUAUAUCUUAACGUUACUUGUUAGUGUCUUGUGCAACUCGGUAUAUUUGGUGACUUGUUAAUGCCUGAAUAUCCUUCUAAUGUAUCUUAACGUUACUUGUUAGUGUCUUGUGCAACUCGGUAG
RNAcentral lists this long non-coding RNA (29134 nucleotides) under Citrus maxima (pomelo). RNAcentral describes it as "long non-coding RNA (CMAX_LNC001443)". The record is from RNAcentral. Lineage: Eukaryota; Viridiplantae; Streptophyta; Magnoliopsida; Sapindales; Rutaceae.